GCCUCUUGAUUGAACCAUAAGAGGUCCAGCCUGCCCAGUGACAUUGUUCAACGGCCGCGGUAUCCUAACCGUGCGAAGGUAGCGUAAUCACUUGUCCCUUAAAUGGGGACUAGUAUGAAUGGCCACACGAAAGCUAUACUGUCUCCUUUUUCCAAUCAGUUAAACUAAUCUUCCCGUGAAGAAGCGGGAAUAAACAUACAAGACGAGAAGACCCUAUGGAGCUUUAAACAAUUGAAACACUUGCAUUUUAUUUUUAAGCCUACAUUAAACCUCACAUUUUGUUUCUAGUUUUAGGUUGGGGUGACCGCGGAGAAAAGACUAACCUCCACGCUGAAAGAGAUUUUCCCUCUAAACAAAAAGCUACAUCUUUAAGUAUUAAUAUAUUAACCUUAAUUGACCCA
RNAcentral lists this ribosomal RNA (401 nucleotides) under Anomaloglossus roraima. RNAcentral's name for it is "partial large subunit ribosomal RNA". It matches the Rfam family "Bacterial large subunit ribosomal RNA", at positions 1818 to 2380 of the family's 2925-position model. Lineage: Eukaryota; Metazoa; Chordata; Amphibia; Anura; Aromobatidae. The record is from RNAcentral.